Molecule: ribosomal RNA, 842 nt
Filed under: human gut metagenome
Description: bacterial LSU rRNA
Rfam family: Bacterial large subunit ribosomal RNA
Source: RNAcentral
ACCCCGGGACCUUUACUAUACCUUGGUAUUGGCAUUCGGUGUGGAUUGUGUAGCAUAGGCGGGAGGCCGAGAGGCGCGGUCGCCAGAUCGCGCGGAGCCGUAAGGUGAAAUACCGCUCUGUUCGCAUUGGAUGUCUAACCUCGAACAGUCAUCCUGUUCAGGGACAGUGCCUGGCGGGUAGUUUAACUGGGGCGGUUGCCUCCCAAAGAGUAACGGAGGCGCCCAAAGGUCCGCUCAGCCCGGUUGGCAAUCGGGUGGCGAGUGCAAGUGCACAAGCGGGCUUGACUGCGAGGACGACGGUCCGAGCAGGGACGAAAGUCGGGACUAGUGAUCCGGUGCCGGUGUACGGACGCGGCAUCGCUCAACGGAUAAAAGGUACCCCGGGGAUAACAGGCUGAUCAUUCCCAAGAGUCCAUAUCGACGGGAUGGUUUGGCACCUCGAUGUCGGCUCGUCGCAUCCUGGGGCUGGAGCAGGUCCCAAGGGUUCGGCUGUUCGCCGAUUAAAGCGGCACGCGAGCUGGGUUCAGAACGUCGUGAGACAGUUUGGUCUCUAUCCUCUGCGCUCGUUGGAAUCCUGAGGAGGCCUGCCCAUAGUACGAGAGGACCUGGGUGGACGAACCUCUGGUAUGCCGGUUGUCACGCCAGUGGCACGGCCGGUUGGCUACGUUCGGAAGGGAUAACCGCUGAAAGCAUCUAAGCGGGAAGCCUGCUCCAAGAUAAGCAUUCCGUGGAACCUUCGAGUUCCUGUAGUCCCCAUGCAGAACACGUGGUUGAUAGGCCGGACGUGGAAGCCCCGCGAGGGGUGGAGCCGACCGGUACUAACGGACGAAAGGCAACACUAA